UCGCCUGUUUUAUCAAAAACAUCUCUUCUUAAGGAAUAAGGGGUAGGCUCUGCUCAGUGAUAUAAAAUUAAAUAGCCGCAGUAUUUUGACUGUGCUAAGGUAGCAUAAUAAUUUGCCUUAUAAUAGAGGGCUAGGAUAAAGGAGUUGACGGUGCUUAAGCUUUCCUCGGAAAAAAAGUUGAAAUUGAUACCUUCAUAAAAAAGUGAAGUUUGCUUUAAAGGGACGAUAAGACCCUGUAAAGCUUUACAAAAAAAAUCUUCUCUAGGAGGAGAUUAAAGAGGGGUUUUUUUAGUUGAGCUGGGGCGGUUUCUUUUAUUCAAAAGAAGAAUUAACAAAUAAUUUUUGAGUCGGAAGAUCUUUUUCAGAUUUAGAACAAGCUACUUUAGGGAUAACAGCACAAUUUUUUUUUAUAGUUCUUAUAGAUAGAAAAGACUUGUGACCUCGAUGUUGAAUUGAGAAAGUUUCUUAGGGUAGAAAUUAAGAAGGGGGGUCUGUUCGACCUAUAGGUUCUCACGUGAUCUGAG
RNAcentral lists this ribosomal RNA (524 nucleotides) under Eurycope sp. 5 SB-2021a. RNAcentral's name for it is "partial 16S ribosomal RNA". It matches the Rfam family "Bacterial large subunit ribosomal RNA", at positions 1796 to 2609 of the family's 2925-position model. Lineage: Eukaryota; Metazoa; Arthropoda; Malacostraca; Isopoda; Munnopsidae. The record is from RNAcentral.